This 435-nucleotide ribosomal RNA is filed under the name uncultured bacterium. Its description in RNAcentral is "partial 16S ribosomal RNA". It matches the Rfam family "Bacterial small subunit ribosomal RNA", at positions 29 to 507 of the family's 1533-position model. The record is from RNAcentral.
AGCGAACGCUGGCGGCAGGCUUAUCACAUGCAAGUCGAGCGGGCACUUUCGGGUGUCAGCGGCGGACGGGUGAGUAACGCGUGGGAACGUGCCCUCUGGUUCGGAAUAACUCAGGGAAACUUGAGCUAAUACCGGAUACGCCCUUUUGGGGAAAGGCUUGCUGCCGGAGGAUCGGCCCGCGUCUGAUUAGCUAGUUGGUGAGGUAACGGCUCACCAAGGCGACGAUCAGUAGCUGGUCUGAGAGGAUGAUCAGCCACACUGGGACUGAGACACGGCCCAGACUCCUACGGGAGGCAGAAGUGGGGAAUAUUGGACAAUGGGCGCAAGCCUGAUCCAGCCAUGCCGCGUGAGUGAUGAAGGCCUUAGGGUUGUAAAGCUCUUUUAUCCGGGACGAUAAUGACGGUACCGGAGGAAUAAGCCCCGGCUAACUUCGUG